This 255-nucleotide ribosomal RNA is filed under the name Salmonella enterica subsp. enterica serovar Kentucky. Its description in RNAcentral is "partial 23S ribosomal RNA". The stretch from base 29 to 255 matches the Rfam family "Bacterial large subunit ribosomal RNA", at positions 566 to 796 of the family's 2925-position model. Lineage: Bacteria; Pseudomonadati; Pseudomonadota; Gammaproteobacteria; Enterobacterales; Enterobacteriaceae. The record is from RNAcentral.
GCGUCGUUUGCGACGCCCAACACACAAAACAAGCGGUGAGUGCUUUGGGGUGGGGUGACUGCGUACCUUUUGUAUAAUGGGUCAGCGACUUAUAUUCUGUAGCAAGGUUAACCGUAUAGGGGAGCCGUAGGGAAACCGAGUCUUAACCGGGCGUUAAGUUGCAGGGUAUAGACCCGAAACCCGGUGAUCUAGCCAUGGGCAGGUUGAAGGUUGGGUAACACGAACUGGAGGACCGAACCGACUAAUGUUGAAAAA